UGCCCUAGUAACGGCGAGUGAAGCGGCAAAAGCUCAAAUUUGAAAUCUGGCCCUAGCGGUCCGAGUUGUAAUUUGCAGAGGAUGCUUUUGGUGCGGUGCCUUCCGAGUUCCCUGGAACGGGACGCCAUAGAGGGUGAGAGCCCCGUACGGUUGGACACCCUAGCCUCUAUAUAGCUCCUUCGACGAGUCGAGUAGUUUGGGAAUGCUGCUCUAAAUGGGAGGUAAAUUUCUUCUAAAGCUAAAUACCGGCCAGAGACCGAUAGCGCACAAGUAGAGUGAUCGAAAGAUGAAAAGCACUUUGAAAAGAGGGUUAAAUAGCACGUGAAAUUGUUGAAAGGGAAGCGUUUGCGACCAGACCUUCUCCAGGGGGAUCAACCGUUAUUUUUAGCGGUGCACUCCCCCUGGUUUAGGCCAGCAUCGGUUCUCUUAGGGGGAUAAAGGCCUGGGGAACGUAGCUCUUUAGGGAGUGUUAUAGCCCCUAGCGUAAUACCCUUCAGGGGACCGAGGACCGCGCUUCGGCAAGGAUGCUGGCGUAAUGGUCGUCAACGACCCGUCUUGAAACACGGACCAAGGAGUCGAACAUUUGUGCGAGUGUUUGGGUGUUAAACCCUCACGCGUAAUGAAAGUGAACGGAGGUGAGAGCCUUAGGGUGCAUCAUCGACCGAUCCUGAUGUCUUCGGAUGGAUUUGAGUAAGAGCAUAACUGUUCGGACCCGAAAGAUGGUGAACUAUGCGUGGAUAGGGUGAAGCCAGAGGAAACUCUGGUGGAGGCUCGCAGCGGUUCUGACGUGCAAAUCGAUCGUCAAAUCUGCGCAUGGGGGCGAAAGACUUAUCGAACCAUCUAGUAGCUGGUUACCGCCGAAGUUUCCCUCAGGAUAGCAGUGUUGUCUUCAGUUUUAUGAGGUAAAGCGAAUGAUUAGGGACUCGGGGGCGCUAUAUUGCCUUCAUCCAUUCUCAAACUUUAAAUAUGUAAGAAGCCCUUGUUACUUAGUUGAACGUGGGCAUUCGAAUGUACCAACACUAGUGGGCCAUUUUUGGUAAGCAGAACUGGCGAUGCGGGAUGAACCGAACGCGGGGUUAAGGUGCCAGAGUGGACGCUCAUCAGACACCACAAAAGGUGUUAGUACAUCUUGACAGCAGGACGGUGGCCAUGGAAGUCGGAAUCCGCUAAGGACUGUGUAACAACUCCACCUGCCGAAUGUUACUAGCCCUGAAAAUGGAUGGCGCUCAAGCGUCUCACCCAUACCUCGCCCUUAGGGUAGAAACGAUGCCCUAAGGAGUAGGCGGCCGUGGAGGUUAGUGACGAAGCCUAGGGC
RNAcentral lists this ribosomal RNA (1315 nucleotides) under Xylariaceae sp. 5250. RNAcentral's name for it is "eukaryotic LSU rRNA". It matches the Rfam family "Eukaryotic large subunit ribosomal RNA", at positions 76 to 1416 of the family's 3401-position model. Lineage: Eukaryota; Fungi; Ascomycota; Sordariomycetes; Xylariales; Xylariaceae. The record is from RNAcentral.